UAGAAAUGGACGAAAGUCUGAUCUAGCAACACCGCGUGUGCGAUGAAGGUCUUCGGGUUGUAAAGCACUUUUUGGAAGGAUUAGGAAGGAAUGUACUUCCAGAAUAAGUCUCGGCUAACUACGUGCCAGCAGCCGCGGUAACACGUAGGAGGCGAACGUUAUCCGGAUUUACUGUGCGUAAAGCGGAUGUAGGUGGUUCUGAAAGUAGGGCGGAAAAGCUCCUGGCUCAAGUGGGAGAGGCCGAUCUAAACUGCAG
This 256-nucleotide ribosomal RNA is filed under the name uncultured bacterium. Its description in RNAcentral is "partial 16S ribosomal RNA". It matches the Rfam family "Bacterial small subunit ribosomal RNA", at positions 365 to 638 of the family's 1533-position model. The record is from RNAcentral.